Molecule: long non-coding RNA, 614 nt
Organism: Drosophila hydei
Lineage: Eukaryota; Metazoa; Arthropoda; Insecta; Diptera; Drosophilidae
Exons: 3
Source: RefSeq, a predicted model, not a curated record
UACAACUGGACAAUGACAAUGUAUGUAUAUGUAUAUGUGUAUGUAUGUGUGUUUGUGUGUGCGCGCCAUGCCCGAAGUUUGAGUAGCGAGUAAAGAGUGGCUACGGACGGCGGCCAGAAGUGAAACCAACAAAAAAUCAUUUGUUUCUUGCUAGCUGAGCUCAGCGCACGCUAAAUUCAUUCUAACCGCUAGCCGAACAAAACGAAAAACGCAACAUUUUAAAGGGAUUGUGCAGCACACUUGCUGCAGUAGACGAAAAAGCAGAAGUGCGGAAGAGCUUAAGCAUGCUGGCGGAACAGCAUGCAUAAGGGAGCAGAAGAGAGAGACAGAGAGGAAAAACGCUAAUAGAUGUACAAGGAAGCAGAAGCAGGAGAGCAGAUGAGCAAACGCAUACAGGCUUAACAAUGCAGUGAGUAGAAAAUCAGAAGAGUUUACGCAACCGGCGCCACAAUACAUGCACAGCUGGACAAUGACAAUGAAGCCAUGCAAGAGUUGAACCAGUCACUAUGCAGUCAGCAGUGAAGCUUACACAUCCACGCGGCACAUUGCUAAUACAUAUACAAUGGAGCAGAGUUUACGCAGCAGGCGCAACCAUACAUGUACAGCUGGACAAU